Molecule: non-coding RNA, 89 nt
Organism: Caerostris darwini
Lineage: Eukaryota; Metazoa; Arthropoda; Arachnida; Araneae; Araneidae
Source: the annotation of a GenBank genome assembly
CCCGGUUCUCGUUAGAUCAUCGAAGUCAAGCAUCAUUGGGCGCGGUCAGUACUUGGGUGGGUGACCACCUGGGAACACCGCGUGCCGUU